RNAcentral lists this long non-coding RNA (5298 nucleotides) under Sus scrofa (pig). Its description in RNAcentral is "lncRNA (ENSSSCG00060036634.1)". The record is from RNAcentral. Lineage: Eukaryota; Metazoa; Chordata; Mammalia; Artiodactyla; Suidae.
UUUUUUUCUUUUUUACCCAAAACUCUGUCUCUGCAUUUCAAUUUGGUACUGGCAGACAGAGGCCGAAUUCCGGCAACAGUAUUUCUGUUCUUCUUUUUGAAUUUUUUUCUAGAGCAUCAGAGUUAAGGUUUCACACUUUGAGAUACAGAACUUUUCUUAAGAGUUGAAAGGAAACAAAUUAUAAAAUUGUUGACUCCCAUUAAGAUUUUUCAUAGACAAUUUUAGUUGAUUUUUAGAAAAUCUCACAGCUUUUCCUGAUUUUUCUUUUACUCUGAGCUUAAAUGAAUUCUCAUUUUGACUCCAUAUGUUACUUUGAGAAAUACUGCAGAAUGCCUGCAGUGAUAGGAUCUUUUUUUACAUGUCUUAUUACAUGUUGCUGUAGGUCUCCACUGAGAAGACCUAUUUUAAUUCUCAUUUUCAGACUCUCUCCUGAGAAGGAGAGCUGGCGUCUUCUUUCAAGGUCACAGGAUUUGAUGGAUGAGGAGUACAAGCAAAGAUCCCAGUUUCAUUCCAAAUUGAAAGAACAACAGAAAAGAGAUUAACCUGUUCCCAAUUAAGCAGAAAUGAGGCCAAGGGCAGGUGACCUUUUAACAGCUAAACACUAUAUUUUUAAAACUGAAUUACUGUUGUUUUCUUUGUUUUUCAGGCUCUUUGUGACUGAAUAUUAAAAGCAGCUUAUAUUUUAUAUAACUCUCUUCAGUUUUCAACCCUCCGACACUUAGAGUAGUUUAUUUUUUUACCGAGCACCAUAUUAUGAGAGUUACAGUGUCAUAGUUAGCUUUAAAUGACCUCUGUUUUAUAAAACUUGGAGAAUUUAUCUGUCUUAGAUCAAGGAUUGGGGUUCCCUGGUGCCAUCCAAGGAUUUGUGCCUGAGUUGGUUCUUUUGGAGCUGUAGCUGCGUCCACAGCUUCAGUCACAGCAACGCAGCAUCCAAGCUGCCUCUGCAUCCUAUACCACAGCUCAUGGCAAGGCCAGCUCCAUGAUCCACUGAGUGAGGCCAGGGAUCAAACCCACACCCUCAUGGAUACUAGUUGAAUUUGUUUCCGCUGAGCCACAAUGGAAACUCCAAUAGUUGGGGUUAUUAAUUCAAUUGACAAUUACUGCCAGCCAAAUGUGUAAAGCAUUACUCUUAUCCCAUCAAUAAAGAUGGCAAGACUAUUAAAGAAGUAUGAUUUAUGGCUUAGAAGUAAAGAGAAUGUAUAGGAAAUACCAAUAUGUGCCUUUAUCUGUGAGUUUGUUUUCAUAGAAGUCUUUUUGUAUAUGGUGAAUCAUCACUUUGCUGGUUAAUUUUCUUUGCUGACAGGCUUCAGUCACUUUAUUUUCUCAUAUUUUGUUUUCUGAUCCCUGCAAGUCAUAAUAUUUAUACUCUAUAUUUUUUCCAAUGUAGUUCUCAGUUCUUUGAUAAGUAUACAUGUACAUAUUAAAAUAUGGCAAAUAUGUCUUAAGAAAUGUUUUAUAAAUAAAGUCCUCUUCUCUAGAGUCCUAAAUAAGCAUACAGUAAAUAAAGUCAAAGAUAUACUUCAAAAAAUAAACAACUCAGCCAAAAAAUGGGCAGAUAUCUAAACAGACAUUGCUCCAAAGAAGACAUAAAGAUGGCCAAUAGGCACAUGAAACAAUGCCCAAUAUCACUAAAUAAUAGAGAAAUGCAAGUCAAGCCUACAAUGAGGUAUCACCUCAACUAGUCAGAAUAGCCGACACUAAAACAUCCACAAAUGAUAAAUGCUGGAGAGGAUGUGGAGAAAAAGGAUUUCUCAUACACUGUUGGUGGGAAUGUAAAUCGGUGGAGCCACUAUGGAGAACAGUAUACAGAGUCCUUAAAAAACUAAGAAUAUACCACAUCUUCCGAAUCCAAUCAUCUGGUAUAGGGGGAAAAAACUGUAACUGCAAUGUAUACAUCUAAGGAUGACCUGACCCCCUUGCUGUACAGUGGGAAAAUAAAAAAAAAAAACAAAAAAAAAACUAAGAAUAUAAUUAUCAUAUAAUCCUACAAGCCCACUCCUGGGAAUCUAUCCAGAGAAAACCAUAAUUUGAAAAGAUACAUGCACCCCAAUGUUCAUAGCAGAACCAUUUACAAUAGCCAAGACAGGGAAGCAACCUAAAUGUCCAUCGACAGAUGAAUGGAUAAAAAAAAUAUGGUAUUAAUACACAAUGGAAUAUUACUCAGCCAUAAAAAGAAUGAAAUAAUGCCAUUUGCAGGAACAUGAAUAGACUUAGAGAUGAUCAUAUUUUUUUUUUUUGUCUUUUUGUCUUUUUAGGGUCACAUCCUUGGCAUAUGGAGGUUCCCAGGCUAGGGGUCUAAUCAGAGCUACAGCUUACACCACAGCCACAGCAAUGCCAGAUCUGAGCCACAUCUGUGACCUAUACCACAGCUCACAGCAAUGCCGGAUCCUUAAGCCACUGAGCAGGGCCAGGGAUCAAACCCACGACUUCAUAAUUCCUAGUCGGAUUCAGUUUCUGCUGUGCCAUGACGUGAACUCCCUGAGAUGAUCAUAUUAAAUAAAGUAAUUAGAUAUAGAUAAAUAUAUGACCUCAUUCACAUGUGGAAUCCUAACAAUUUAUAUAAACGAACCUAUUUACAAAACAGAAAUAGACUCACAGACAUAGAAAACAAACUUAUGAUUACUAAAAGGGAUAGCUGUGGUGGAGGGUGAGAUAAUUUAGGAGUUUGGAAUUAAUAUAUAUCCACUACUUAUGUAAAAUAAACAGCAAGAACCUUCUGUAUAGCACAGGACACUAUAUUCAAUACCAUGUAAUAGCCUAUAAUAGAAAAGAAUCUGAAAAAAAAUCUAUGUAUUUUCUGUUAUCACAUGUGCUCUCUCACCCCCUCUUUUCUUUCUCUUCCCUUCCACUUUUCUCUCAAUUUCGCAUACAUUCCAAACUUUGCAAGUCAUUUUUUAGAAGUCAGAAUGUAUCUUCUCAGGGAUCUAAGACUAUAAAUGACAUCUCUUCCAAGGUGAGCAUUUCGAAAACCUUUAAAAUUUAUACUGUGGCUGAAAUAUUAUGUCUUUUUGAUAGAAUUUACUAUUGCUAUAAAAUUAGCACCUAAAAAAACAAAAAAGAAAAUCUCAAAAAAUCUCUACCUCAGAUGAUUGAGAGUAAUAAGGGAUAAAGAAGGAAUAAAAAUAUUAGGAAACCAAAGGAGAUUUAUGAGAACUUUCUAAGUGAUUAAAAGUUGGCUAUCUAUAUAUCAUUUUCUGUGGGGAGCUGAGGAGAUGCAGGGACUCAAAAAAAAAAAAAAAAAAGGACCUUGCCUGAUGGCAAAGAAAACCUGAAGGCAGGUUCCUAACCAAGGAAGGGAGCUCACCUGAAUGGUACAUGCCAAAGGUGGGCCUCUGGACAGGAUAAAAGCUUACCUGAAUGGUGCAUGCCGAAGGUGGGCCUCUGGACAGGAUAAAAGCCUGCCUGAAGGGUACAAGCCGAGGGCAGGCCUCAGGUUACAUAGCUCUCAUUUUGAUGUUUAUGGGGAAGAAUUGGGGCUUUCCUGGGAAAACAAUUUCCAUGUUUGUGCCAGAGAACAUGGAUUGUUUCUCGGGUGACCUAGUCUUUCCUGUUGUUUUAUUUGUUAUUCAGGUUUCCUCAGUCUUUCCUGAUUAUUUGCUUAUUAUUCUUAUUUCCCAUUCUUAUUUUCCUGUGGUGAUUUGUGAUUUAACAAAAUUACAAUAAUAAUAUAAUGAGAAUUUCAUUCUAAAGGACUUUCCCCUAUUUAAAUCCAACUUAAUUAAAAACAUAGUGUUUAUCUACUAACCUAGUUAUACAGUAAACUUUAGAGUUAGGAUUUUAAUGAGGUUCAUAGAAGUUGGACACAUAUUAUUCAGGAUCAAAAGAAAUUUGGCUGUGAGUUUUGUCCUUGAGUUUAGAAACUUUUAACAGUAGCUAGCUAAAUUGAUUUGUAUUUUCUCAUACUGUCUCCCUGCCAAGGACACUUUGAAGAUAGACACUAGUCUGAAGACAGGAUUUUUUGUGUUUGUAACUUCUUCAGCUUGUGGGAACUGACUGGCCAUGAGAUGGUUUGUGCUGGGUCUCCUCUUUCCCACAUGAUAUGCUGCACCUGUUUGUCCUUGAAUUGUACUCACUAAAUUUACUUAAGUUAAAGAUUUUAAAACAUGAUGUAUUGCUACUGUACCAUGUGAUCAAAAAACAAAGCCUAAUAGUUAACCAAUGUACUUUUAACACUGUGAUGUAAUCUGUAGUGAAAAACUGUCUAUAUAAUCAACCACUUAUGCCAAUAAAGUUUGAGCAGUCCAGCACCCUGAAAGAAGGGACAAAGAGGCUAUCUCCGUGUCUUUUGCCGAUGCUGUCCAUCUCCUAUCGGGAAAGUGUACACUCCCUGGCCACUGAGCUGGCCUCCAGCAAUUUUCCUCUUAAUUUCAAACAUUUUGUUUUAAUUUUUAAUGCUUCUUUUCCUAUUAGUUUAUAAAACUCUAGCUGUCAGGUAGCAGAUCAAAUUUAUCUUGACUUUUCCCACAGCUUCUGGUAAAAACUAGUGAAAACAGGUCUUCCUUCUGUAAGUACAUUGGCCAUUUAAGUAGUUCAAUAUUCCAAAUAAAAUUUCAAGGUAUUUUUAAGAGUUUUGAUAAUGAUAGUGUUCUUUUUAUUAUUCUAUUUCAAAAAUUAUAGUUUAAAUAUAUAUUUUACAAAAGCCAUAAUUUAGGAAACAUUUUUCUUAUAAUUUGAACAGAGGCCAAAAUAGGUCCUGAGGAAAGAGAAAUUUCCUAAAAAUAAGUCAGAAGAAGAUAAAACAGAACAGUUAAGAAGAUGGUAGUCUAAUAUUAAAUUAACAGCUUUGAAUCUAAAUUUAGGGGAAAAGCAAAAUGUGCAUGAGAAAGAAGCAGAAAGAUGGAAAAGCAUAAUCUGCGUCUCCUCAACUGACUGAGAAUUUGGAAGGAAAUGAAACUUUCCAUAUACAUGUAUGUAUCUAUACAUACACACACACACGCAUGCACACACACAUGCUUUGCAAAGAAUUAUAAUUAAGCUACACUACAGAGAAAAUUCUGUAUGUGACCAAUAAUUUUGUAGGGUCAUCUUGUACUUUCAGAACUAUUCUGAGUCAGGUUGAUUUUGAUGGAUCAAGGAAUUGGAAGUGUUUUUAUGAUCUUUUAGAAGCUUUAGGCAUUGUCUCUGUAUAACACAAGCUUACAUCUUGUAUAAAUGCUUAGUAUAAAGAAUUCAACUAGGAGUUCCCGUCAUGGCUCAGCGGUUAACAAAUCCAACUAGGAACCAUGAAGUUGCGGGUUCAAUCCCUGGACUAAGGAUCCAGGGUUGCCUAGAGCUAUGGUGCAGGUCACAGAUGAGGCU